RNAcentral lists this ribosomal RNA (544 nucleotides) under Moelleriella turbinata. Its description in RNAcentral is "SSU rRNA". It matches the Rfam family "Bacterial small subunit ribosomal RNA", at positions 235 to 789 of the family's 1533-position model. Lineage: Eukaryota; Fungi; Ascomycota; Sordariomycetes; Hypocreales; Clavicipitaceae. The record is from RNAcentral.
UUCGGGAUAGGUAGUAGUUAAGGUGAUGGCUUAACUAGCCAAAAAUUUUUGUAGUCGAAUNUGAAAGGUUGAUCGACCACAUUGGGUNUGAAAAAAUCCCAAUGCAAGUUAGUACAGCAGUGAGGAAUCUUGGUCAAUGGCCUAACGGCUGAACUGGCAACUUGGAGAAGUGGCAAGUCCUAUUUUGAUUAUAUCNUUGUAUAUAAUCUAUAGGAUUGUAUUAAAAUUGAAUAAAGCUUUGUUUAUAUAUUGAUAAUGACAGUAUAUAUAUCGUGUCUUGACUAAUUACGUGCCAGCAGUCGCGGUAAUACGUAAGAGACUAGUGUUAUUCAUCUUAAUUAGGUUUAAAGGGUACCUAGACGGUCAAUAUAGCUUCUAUAAUGUUAGUACUUGACUAGAGUUUGAUGUAAGAGGGCAGUACUUGAGGAGGAGAGAUGAAAUUCUAUUAUACCAAAGGGACUCGGUAAAGGCGAAGGCAGCCCUCUAUGUAAAAACUGACGUUGAAGGACGAAGGCACAGAGCACAAACAGGAUUAGAUACCCAA